AUUGAACGCUGGCGGCAGGCCUAACACAUGCAAGUCGAGCGGUAGAGAGGUGCUUGCAUCUCUUGAGAGCGGCGGACGGGUGAGUAAUGCCUAGGAAUCUGCCUAGUGGUGGGGGAUAACGUUCGGAAACGGACGCUAAUACCGCAUACGUCCUACGGGAGAAAGCGGGGGAUCUUCGGACCUCGCGCCAUUAGAUGAGCCUAGGUCGGAUUAGCUAGUUGGUGAGGUAAUGGCUCACCAAGGCGACGAUCCGUAACUGGUCUGAGAGGAUGAUCAGUCACACUGGAACUGAGACGCGGUCCAGACUCCUACGGGAGGCAGCAGUGGGGAAUAUUGGACAAUGGGCGAAAGCCUGAUCCAGCCAUGCCGCGUGUGUGAAGAAGGUCUUCGGAUUGUAAAGCACUUUAAGUUGGGUAGGAAGGGUAGUAACC
Molecule: ribosomal RNA, 431 nt
Filed under: uncultured bacterium
Lineage: Bacteria
Description: bacterial SSU rRNA
Rfam family: Bacterial small subunit ribosomal RNA
Source: RNAcentral